CUAACGCGUGAUACGCGGACACUGCUUGGUGGGUAGUUUGACUGGGGUGGUCGCCUCCAAAAGCGUAACGGAGGCUUCCAAAGGUGCCCUCGGGUCGAUUGGUAACCGACCUCAAAGAGUGCAAUGGCAUAAGGGCGCUUGACUGGGAGGCAGACAUGCCGAGCAGGCAGGAAACUGGGGCAUAGUGAUCCGGCGGAUGUGUAUGGAAACUCCGUCGCUCAAAGGAUAAAAGGUACUCCGGGGAUAACAGGCUGAUCCCCCCCAAGAGCUCAUAUCGACGGGGUGGUUUGGCACCUCGAUGUCGGCUCGUCACAUCCUGGGGCUGGAGAAGGUCCCAAGGGUUGGGCUGUUCGCCCAUUAAAGAG
This 365-nucleotide ribosomal RNA is filed under the name Anaerosalibacter bizertensis. RNAcentral describes it as "partial 23S ribosomal RNA". It matches the Rfam family "Bacterial large subunit ribosomal RNA", at positions 2222 to 2595 of the family's 2925-position model. The record is from RNAcentral. Lineage: Bacteria; Bacillati; Bacillota; Tissierellia; Tissierellales; Sporanaerobacteraceae.